CAGUACGUUUGCGUCCUGUUUGGCUGUUUUGAAGUUAAGAGAAGCAUCUCAUCUGAAUCUGACGUCUAUCAUGGAUAUUUAACUGCAGUUCUGUGAGUAUCCCAACUUAACCCUGAAGAUGAACUGCAAACUGUAAGUCAUUAAUUUCUCAUUACUCUUGGGCACAUUGAUGUAUUUUGGCUUCCUGGUGAGUUAACCCAUUACCUAUGGUUGAUCUGAGUAGUAAGGUGUUUUAUUGGUUCAUGGGUUACUUAGGUGUUUGGUUUAUGUUGGUGUUAAUGAUUUGUUAAAAUGGUUACAGGCUCCAAGUUAUUGUUGUAAGCUGGAGUAAUGGGUUGGGUUCUGAUAUCUUCAGUCUUCUUUCAUGCUACUCUCCUGAGCUCAACAUCUUGAGGUGCAUGAGGUGCAUACUGGGAUACAGAGCUGGCUGAAUUCUACAGGUCUGUAGACACGCCCCCUCAGGGGAAACCGAGUGUUUGAGAAACUGUUGUGACGUCAGUUACAUAAACUAGAAUGUUCUGAAAGAUGGAGACAGGGAUUCAGAAGGAGAAAAACCAGGGGGAGAUGAGGGGGCUCCUCAUCUCAACGACUAAAACACAACUUCAGUCUGACACAGAGAACCAUGGAACACAUUCAACAGUCCCCUCCAUGCAUCGUGACUCCUCAGGAACAGUUUCAUUUCCAAGAAGGUCUUAUUUGGGGCCAUCCCCAGAUGGAUCCUGCUCCUCAAGAGCCAUCCCCCUCCAAUGGGUGGUCUUCUGAACAGAUGACCUCCUUCCUGUUCUCAGGCUGAUUAAAGCUGCACCGUUUGCAUCUGUGAAGGCCCCCAUUCAAGAAACCACUGGACUACAAAGACAUGACUUCAGAGACGUUGAAUCAACCUGGGACACAUUUUGGAGACGCCAAGCAUAAUCCAUCACCAACGUGGGACGCCACUGAAGAAUGUUGUUCAUAAUUUACUUCUCUGGAGACAUUGGUUGUUCUGUUCUGGUUGCCCUGGCAGGAGAGCUUGGGGUGGAUGAUGGAAUGUUAUUUGGCAUGAGGUUUUUACCCUGCAUGAUUUUUUUUUGGCAUUUUAUGGCUCAGUGGUGUGUGUGUGUGUGUGUGUGUGUGUGUCAUGAGAUGGAUGAUUUUUGAGCAUUGCUAGGGUUCUACUGUGUCUCCCACUCACACCUGGAAUGGGGUUCUACAUGCCUGUCCUGGGUUCUGUGUGUGUGUGUGUGUGUGUGUGUGUGUGUGUGUGUGUGUGUGUGUGUGUGUGUGUGUGUGUGUGUGUCCGGCUUGCUUUGACAGUGAUAAUGUUCAUACAGGAGUCUGUGUCAUUGGCUUGGGAUAUUGGAAUGGUCAAAUAAAUCAUACCUGAUGGACGGCCACACGUUUACUGAAGGGCCUCCAGAGCGACACUGCGGAGCGAUAUCCAACACACUGGAAAGAAAGGACAGUAUCCAACUCGAGUGUAAAGGAUGCAAGCGGCAUGUUCAGAUCAGUCUCUUCAAACUAGGACUACACCAAACAGGAUCAAUGGCGGAUGGACACCAAAAGGAAUUCCACAAGGAGAGUCUGACAUUGGAAAUGGACCUAAAUGGAUAUUCAAGAUGACCUUCAGACCUGUAAUGAGACGGCUCUUCCUACCUGGCUGGAUUGAUGGAGAGCCCUGUGGAUCUUGUCUUGCUCUCAGUUGCACGUCUUCUCAGGCUGAACUGUAUUUUUUUCGGACAGGACUAGAUGAACGAUUUGUUCCCUUAAAUCAGAACCAAUCUGGGAACUCCAACUAGUGCGCUCUUCGAGCUGAAGUUGUGCUUUUUCAGCUGAGGAGGUAAGGAAACCUUCACUGGGGCUUCAAGGUGUUAAGAGGAGAAUGUUUCAAAGUGUUCCAUGGUACUCUGAUGAGGACCGUUGUUGUGUUCCACUGGCUGAGAGGAAGAACCCUCACAUCUUCCUCUUGGCCUUUCUCCUCCGAGAAUCCUGGCGCCAUCUUGAAGGAUAUUCCAGCUCAUGUAACUGAUGUCACGACAGAUUCUCAAACACUUGGUUUUUCCUGAGGGGCGUGUCUAUAGAACUGAAGACUUCAGACAGCACUGUAUCCCAGCAUGCAUCUCUGCUCACUCAGACCACACCUCCAUGAUUAGGAUGCAACACUAGUGAUGGAGAUGUAGAGUUUUAUAAGUAACAAGGGAGCAGACAAAGGUGAUUAGAACACAAUGGCAUUUCAAGUCUGUAAAUCUUUAAACCAUGAAGAUGGUUGUAAAGUUCAAGAAUUGGGCUUUUUAUUAUGGGCAGUCCUUUCACUCGAAUGCCCUCUUCUCACUGGACCUGUACAUGUGUUGGCUGGCUGGCAUGAUUUGCUGUUGGUGAUGGGGCGAUCAAGGUGACGUUGCAGGGAUAUGGUCGGCUCUCUGUGAGCUCAACGUUUAGAUUUGCUCUGUAUGGUUUUUACCCUGAAUAAUCUAGAUGGUUGUAAAAUGUAGACACGGUUCUGUAUUGAAUGAUUCCAGGAUUUUAGGUUUUAAGUUGUUGUGGGACGUACAUGGUAGUUUGGUUCUUCGUACGGUUUUGAGUGAUAACUUGUACACACUGGGUGCAUAAUAAUGUAAAGGUACACUGAAAAGUAGUAGUAUUGACCAACAGCAACAAACAGAUCUCCUCAAGGUAAGUCUGUUGGCUGUGUUUUAAUGAAGACCAUCGCUAGACUUCAGGAUCUUCCUCCGUUCAGCUCAAGGUGAGGCGCUGGUUCUGUUUUUUCUUUGGUUGGUUCCGGCCGGAAUGUUCAGAUUCCUGUCGGACGGUUCGUGCUUCCCGCCGUGGAAGGUUCUGAUUGCGGUCACUUGAUUUAGUCACAAUGGUUAGCAUAGAACUUUGUAGUCUUGACAACCAAGAAACCACCUGGCAGUUAGUUGGACGGGAGUCCCCUGAGGGAAUCUGGCGGAACGUUGUGGAUUGUAUUUGCGUAACCUCGAGCCGUUAUUUUUCAGUCGUUUCCAUUUGGAAUUGUUCCCUCAUCUUAAACCACUUAAUUUUGAUUUUAAAUAAAUACUGACACAUACGUCGUACAAUAUGUUGAUAAUUUCCGAUGGUUGCGUCGUACUUUUAACCACGAUGACCGACGUGACGGGACUCUCGCUGCGUACAAGACGGCGUUCUUCUUGCGGGCCCAUUUUUGACAUCAGUGAAGGCUGAAAAUCAUUUCAAGGUGGAAGACAAUUUGACAUUGCUUCAAAGGAACCCAGCACCUGAAUAUGGUUGCGUAUAUUUGAUUUAAUAUCGUUACUGCUUAGUGUUCUUUGUUACUUCAGCUAUUGUACGUUCUAAAAAUCUGCUGUCAUUAAUUGCCACAGAAGUUAAACCCUACCCAAUGGAAUGAUGUUAAACAAUGAUUGUGGUGCAGUUACCAACUGAAUAAUAUGAAAGCUAAAAUAAUGGCCGUCCUUCCCACAUGUUACAGUAGACGGUUAAAAAGGUAACAUGUAGUUUGUCCCAAGGUGUCUGCCUCCUCACCCAGAGCAAGACCUUCACCUCCUCACCCAGAGCCAGACCUCCACCUCCUGCCAGAAGUCCUCCAGAACAGCUGAAAGGUGAGGCUGAGAGGCUGGGGACCGGAGGCUUGUGGUGCCAGGAUGGACCGGAGACUGAGGCUGGAGACCAGGGGCCUGCAGCACCGGACCAGAGGGUGAUUUAAUGCUGAGACAACUGUUUGUAACCAGACCAGGAGUCCAUGUCUGGAGGAGCCGUGCUGAAGGAGUUGGAGGAGCCCUGCUGAAGGACCUGAUGGAGGAGCCGUGCUGAUGGAGGAGUCGUGCUGAAGGCCCUGCCUGGUGGAGGACGUGAGACCAGGACUCUGUCUGAGGAGAGCUGCUGGAGGAGCUGAGACGCUGGAAGACGACUAGGCAUCGACCAACAAGGAUUCCUCAACAUGUUUCUUGGGCAGAGGCGAGCUGGUAGGGGAGCCGUGAAUCUGGAGGAUGACCAUCACUCUACCAACAAGGAUUACGUUAUGGCCAGACUCGCGCUGUUUGUUCCAGACCAGGACUCUGGCUGAGGAGAGCUGAUGGAGGAGCCAAGACUCUGGAGGACGACAUCACUCUACCAACCAGGAUCCUCGUAAAUUUGCAUGAAAUAAAUGGAGUGGAUUAGUUUGUCCAGUACAAGUUACGGCAUACUACUGUGGUUGUUUACCAGACAAACUACAGCUGCUACUUUUUUAUGUGACAUUAGAGCCCAAUUACUCCUGUGUUUGUUACCUUGCAUUAGAGCCCAACUACUCCUGUGUUUGUUACCUUACAUUAGAGACAAACUACUACUGUGUUUCUUACCUUGCAUUAGAGACAAAUUACAUUUGUAACCAGACCAGGAAUCUUGAGGACUGAUGGAGAAGCCGUACAUCUGGAAGGCAAAUCCUGAGGACAACCAGGACUCUACCAUCAAGGAUUCCUCAUAAGUUUGCAUUAUCUGGACAUAGUGGACUAGACACACCUGAGCUGAACCUCACCAGAUCCUGUUUGGUCGGGGGCAGACACACCUGAGCUGAACCCACCCUGAUCCUGACAUCCUGCUGGUCCCGUCUCCUCAGUUCAUCUGAGCCUCGUCCUCCAGAAGACCUGCUGAGCUCAGUGGUCUGAGGCUGAUGAAUCAAUGACCUCCAGUGGGAGUGAUCUUCUUGACCCCACAUGUACCUGUGUGCUUCCACACGCCUUUCCUUCACGUCUGUCACUAACCUCACUACUUCACUACUCUCUACUCCUUCCCCUUCUUCCUUCUCCGUGGUUCGAACCUUUACACUGAACGCGCGUCUUCCUGCCCUCAGAGGGUUCAGCGUUAGGGUUGAGAGUCAGGGUUUAGAGUCAGGGACAGAGCUGGUCAGGGAGGACUGCUUUUACACAAACCUCUUCACUUGCAUUCGGAAUGGUGGUGACAUUUUGAUAAGAUUAAUUUGGGAAAAUGUUUUCCUCUGCUUUCCUUUACAAAAUUGUGUUAAACUUCUGUCAAGGGUUUUUGUUUAUAUAUUAAAAUCCCACAUUGACUUCUACAUGUUUGGUGCGGUUCAUUUAAUUGUCCUUUAACUUGGUUAAUGUCAAGCUAAAC
Long non-coding RNA from Gadus chalcogrammus (walleye pollock), 5079 nucleotides. RefSeq lists it as uncharacterized. The transcript is spliced from 8 exons. The record is from RefSeq and is a predicted model, not a curated record. Lineage: Eukaryota; Metazoa; Chordata; Actinopteri; Gadiformes; Gadidae.